AUUGAACGCUGGCGGCAGGCCUAACACAUGCAAGUCGAGCGGUAGAGAGAAGCUUGCUUCUCUUGAGAGCGGCGGACGGGUGAGUAAUGCCUAGGAAUCUGCCUGGUAGUGGGGGAUAACGUUCGGAAACGGACGCUAAUACCGCAUACGUCCUACGAGAGAAAGCAGGGGACCUUCGGGCCUUGCGCUAUCAGGUGAGCCUAAGUCGGAUUAGCUAGUUGGUGGGGUAAUGGCUCACCAAGGCGACGAUCCGUAACUGGUCUGAGAGGAUGAUCAGUCACACUGGAACUGAGACACGGUCCAGACUCCUACGGGAGGCAGCAGUGGGGAAUAUUGGACAAUGGGCGAAAGCCUGAUCCAGCCAUGCCGCGUGUGUGAAGAAGGUCUUCGGAUUGUAAAGCACUUUAAGUUGGGAGGAAGGGCAGUAAAUUAAUACUUUGCUGUUUUGACGUUACCGACAGAAUAAGCACCGGCUAACUCUGUGCCAGCCGCCGCCGUAA
This 500-nucleotide ribosomal RNA is filed under the name uncultured bacterium. Its description in RNAcentral is "partial 16S ribosomal RNA". It matches the Rfam family "Bacterial small subunit ribosomal RNA", at positions 30 to 523 of the family's 1533-position model. The record is from RNAcentral.